Molecule: long non-coding RNA, 436 nt
Filed under: Trifolium pratense (red clover)
Lineage: Eukaryota; Viridiplantae; Streptophyta; Magnoliopsida; Fabales; Fabaceae
Description: long non-coding RNA (TPRA_LNC013972)
Source: RNAcentral
AGCUCCAGUAGCUUUACACACAUAGUGCAAAAAUUCAGCAUAACAAUCUAUAUGCAUGACUACUUAAGUAUAAAAAAAAAUACUAAGUUUGCUAAUGGUUCAAACUUAAUAACAAACGCAGCAAAAUUAUGAUAUCUAAGUAUCUAUUCUUCUUUGGUAAACACUAAAAUUAAAAAUAUGCAUCUCCAUGACCUGCUUCAUUUCCCAUAUGCAACUCCAUGACUACUAGCUUUGUGACAANNNNNNNNNNNNNNNNNNACCUCAUAUUUGUUGGUGAAGUUGAAUACCAGUAAUGGAAACCUCAACCUAACUUAUCCAGUUCACAUAAAAUCAGAAAUAUGAGAUAAAAAUCUAGCCAAUAAGAAAAAUGAAAAUACUUAUAGUCAUGAAGUCACCAACAUAUUUAGCCAAAAGAUCAGUUUUCUUUCUACCUGCA